Molecule: transfer RNA, 73 nt
Filed under: Fasciola gigantica
Lineage: Eukaryota; Metazoa; Platyhelminthes; Trematoda; Plagiorchiida; Fasciolidae
Rfam family: tRNA
About the family: Transfer RNA (tRNA) molecules are approximately 80 nucleotides in length. Their secondary structure includes four short double-helical elements and three loops (D, anti-codon, and T loops).
Source: Rfam by way of RNAcentral
AUCGCGAUAGCUCACUCGGUAGAGCAUCUGCUCGGUAAGCGGAGUGUCGCCGGUCCGAUUCUGGCUCGCGGAG